Molecule: ribosomal RNA, 527 nt
Filed under: uncultured Acidobacteriota bacterium
Lineage: Bacteria; Pseudomonadati; Acidobacteriota
Description: bacterial SSU rRNA
Rfam family: Bacterial small subunit ribosomal RNA
Source: RNAcentral
UGGGGAAUUUUUCGCAAUGGGGGCAACCCUGACGAAGCAAUGCCGCGUGGAUGAUGAAGUAUCUCGGUACGUAAAAUCCUUUCGACGGGGACGAAACCGCAAGGUUGACGGUACCCGUAGAAGAAGCCCCGGCUAACUCCGUGCCAGCAGCCGCGGUAAUACGGGGGGGCAAGCGUUGUUCGGAAUUACUGGGCGUAAAGGGUGCGUAGGCGGCUUUCUAAGUCGGAUGUGAAAACUCUGGGCUCAACCCAGAGCCUGCAUCCGAAACUGGAGAGCUAGGGUUCUGGAGGGGAAAGCGGAAUUCCUGGUGUAGCGGUGAAAUGCGUAGAUAUCAGGAGGAACACCGGUGGCGAAGGCGGCUUUCUGGACAGAUACCGACGCUGAGGCACGAAAGCUAGGGGAGCAAACAGGAUUAGAUACCCUGGUAGUCCUAGCCCUAAACGAUGGAUACUUGCUGUGGGGGGAUUGAAGCCCUUGUGGCGAAGCUAACGCAUUAAGUAUCCCGCCUGGGGAGUACGGUCGCAAGG